CCAUCUGGUACUGUGUUCCUCUCCAUCUUCAGGGUCACUCCUCUGGCAUUGGCCUCCUGAGGCCCAUCCUGCCUGGAACGCUCUUCUCCAAACAUUGGCUUCAAGCCCCGAAGCUGGCUGCUGGUCACUGCACACCCCUCUGGGGAGGCAGAGGAACUCUGACAGAGCUUCUGGAAAGGGUCCCAGGGCACCUGCUUUGGUUCUACGCGACCAAAGGAGGAGCGGGAAGUCCUGCUUCCCUGAGUCAGAGUCCCGUGAGCAGAGUGGAGAUGGCACACAGCCUGAUCUGGAACCCUCGCCUUCCCGGGCUGAUCUACCUCCUCCUGUAGGCAUCCAGGUCUGUGGUCCCUUUGAACCGUGUGGCCGCUCCCUCCUGUCUUGCCUCCUUCCUCACCCCCAGCAGCUGACUUUUAUCUCUGCCAUGUGCCAGACCUCCUUGCUAUCUUUUCCCAUACUGGGCACAAUCCUGCCUCAGGACCUGGGCACUUGCUUUUCCCCUGCCUGGACCUCUCUGCCACCAGAUUUCAUUUCCACACCUGUAGAUCCUUUCACUUUCACACUGAAAUGCUACCUUUCCAGCGAGACAUCCUGGCUCUUCUGUUUAAAACUGCAAUCCACCUGCCUGGCUUCACCUCUCUUCCUACCCUGCCCUGCUUGGGUUUUCUAUAUAGUAUUUACCCUCAUUCAUCACCAGCAUAAAGUCCUGUGUCUUUCUCUUCCUGUUAAAUGCAUGCUCUAUGUGGGAAGGAUCUCAGUUUGUUUUGUUUGCUCCUGUGUCCCUAGUGCCUAGCAUAGCAUAGGAACUCAGUAGGACACUGCAUGCAUAAUUUCAAGGGUUGCCCCCUGCCACUGCUAUGGGCUGGCCCAGGCUGUGGACAGUUGUCCCUUGCAUGUUGUACAGAUCCUACCUGGUGCCCCAUGUCCAAUCUGGCCCCAUCCAAGGAGUUCGUCUAGCAGCCAAAGCAGCCUUGUUAAAAUGAACCGGACUAGGGCUUUCAGGGCUCUGCCCAACCUGGCCUCCAGCUUCCUUUGGACUCAUUGCCUGUUCACUUCCUUGUGGCAGCCACACUGUAUUCUUGGGCUCCCUGGAUAUAUAAAGCUCCCAUACUGGCCUCAGGGCCUUUGCAACCCCGAUCACAGGCUGGAAUGCUUUUCUCUCUAAUCUUCCCUGGCUAUCCCUCUAUCUUGGGCCAAUGUCACCCCCCAUCCCCAGAAGUCUUCCCUGUUUAUCCUAAUCCCCCAUCAAGUCACUCUUACUGUGCUUCAUUGUCUUCCUGGCAAGUCAAACUUCUUUGGUGAGUGUGUUUGUUUGCUUUUCAGCUAAACCAGAUUCCUGAGAACAGGCCCUUGUUAGCUUACUUCUUGAAGCUCCUGUCAUAAAGUAGGUUCUCGAUAAAUUGGCCUGGUGGGUGAGCUAAGGUGUCCACUUCUAUUCCUUCCUGUCCUCACACAUUUGCAUCAUGACAUGCUUGUGACAGAUGAGUUGAACGUCAGAGAGCUCAAGCGGUGUAUGUCUGCAUGUGUCUCUGGGUGUCCAAGUGUCCUUUGUGCGUGGAUGUGUGUGGCUGCUGCUGUGUGCAUGUCUGCAUAUGCCAUUGUGAAACCCUUCCUGUUGGCUGUCUUGUAUCUGUGUCCCUGAGCAUGAGGGUCCAAAGCCCAAUUCUGUCACACCCAGAGCCUCAUUCAAUGUGUCCUCUCAUUUCCCUGUCUGCCCCAGGCCCCUGCAGACUCUAAGGCCCCUUCAUCUCCUGGCUGUGAGGUCCCUGGACACUGAGGCACAUAGGGAGCAAAAGUAGAGGGAAAAGGCAGGGAGGUCUGGUACAUUCCCUGGGGCUCACAGAUCCUAAGCUCAGCCCCCACACCAGGGCCCAGGAUCAGCUCCUGACUUUAAAUCGCCAAUCCCUGAUCAAGCUGUGGAGCUGGAGCUGGGCUGGUUCCCAUGGCAACGUGGAAGCCAUCAGGCCUCUUGCUCAUAAAACAGGUCAUAAAGCAGAGAUGGGAGGAGUAAUGGGGGCUGCUAGGUUGGUGGAGGGACUGGCUGCCUGUGGGUGUUGGGAGACCUGGCCAUCUACCUGGUGGGCACCAGGCCUGGGUUCUGCCUCUGCUUCUCAUCUUGGGCACCCUCAGUUUCCUGCUUUGUGAGUGUGAGCAGUAAGGGCUCUGUAUUUUGACUUUGAAUGUGAUACUGUCUGAACCAGGGACUGUCCUCGGUUGGAGGGCCUGGCAAGACUUGAGUCUGGGAUAAACUCACAGCCACAGUUUUCUCAUCAGUACUAGAGACCUAAGGAGAAGAGGCAUGGUGAGUGCAAAGAUCCAAGCUCAAGAGAACAUUAUUUCAAGUCCAGCUCAGAUCUGCAAGCUGUGCCACUGCUAUGGCCUGGCCCAGGCUGUGGUCAGCUGUCCCUUGCAUGUUGUACAGAUCCUACCUUGUCCCUCAUGUCCAGUCUGGCCCCAUCCAAGGAGUUCGUCUAGCAGCCAAAGCAGCCUUGUUAAAAUGAACCUGACUAGGUUAUCUGUUGGUGGAAAGCCAAGUGGGACAAGUGGUUAAACUCUCAGAGCCAAAUUUAUUCACCUCUAAAAUGGGGAUAAAAUGCCAUUAGGUUUCUAUAGAAAACACAUCCAGUAGAACCAGCAGUAGACCUGGCCUGGCCUGAUGCCAGACUGUGCAAUAAUACUCUGUAUUAGGGAUAAUUGGUUACUCUGUCCCAAGGACUUGUCUCAAUGUUUUAUCCUCACAAAUUAUAUUUACUCCCAUCUUACAGAUGAGGCACCAAGGCUGUUAUGGAUUGAUAACUAGUGGUCAACUUAACGCCAGCUGGAUUGCAUCAGCAAGCAUUGAGAGAAGAUGCUCCACCUGAGAAGGGUUGCCAGGAUAAAUAGGUGGAGAAGAAGAGAGGUGUGGAGAGGGAUUGAGGCGUAUGGAGGCAUUGUUAGUUCUCCUACAAGUUGCUGUCUGAGCUGUUGGUUCUCCUGGAGAAGCUUUGGUCUUCACAUCGAGCAUUGCUUCCUGGCUCCGGAGGGGAAGACAUGUGCUGCCUGGUCUCCAGAGUGAACUCCUCACGCUGCUUCCUGGCAGGUUCCCGACUGUGCUUGUCAUCGGAGGAGCUCGGGGCCUCCGUGUCGAUGAGGACAGCUGUGGUUCCUUUCAGGACAGCCCCGCUUUCUGUUAUGAGUGUGACUUCUCAGCUCCAGUGUAGAACCCUCAUCCCACUAGCACAGCUCCUUCAUCCUGCUGGCAUGGACUUUCUGGCUUCCACCGCUGACCCUUGGGUCUUCCCGGCAUGAAUCCGUAAAAGAGACUGGCGUGAGUCCUUGUGGGCCCUGGACUUCCAGUUGGACUCGUGGAGGCAUUGUCCUGAGCUCUGGGUUUUUAUCUGGACUCAUGUGGGACAUUGCCAUGGGGUUUAGACUCUUGACUAAAUAAUCUAUGUCGUUGGUGUUGCGGAUGGAUUUCCUGCAUUCUCCUGUGUUAACUUCCGGUGACCAUUAUAAAAAUAUUAUAAACUCCAUGUCCUGAUCUGAA
Molecule: long non-coding RNA, 3523 nt
Organism: Cavia porcellus (domestic guinea pig)
Lineage: Eukaryota; Metazoa; Chordata; Mammalia; Rodentia; Caviidae
Source: Ensembl